UUCCACGUCUUAUCGCGCCGGUUUUACCGGUGAGGAAAGUCCGGACAAUGCAGGGCAACCGCACCACUUAACAGGUGGCUCAGAAUUUAUUCUGACGAGAAAGUGUCACAGAAAAGAACCGCCUCAAUUCGUUGAGGUAAGGGUGAAAAUGUGUGGUAAGAGCACACGCUGUGUUUGAGCAAUUGAACACAGGGAUAAACCUUGCGGAUUGAAAUGCCAUGUAUAUCCAUUACCUGAAAAGGUACUCUGGCCCUGAGGUGUCAUUAGACAGAUGGAGGGGUAGGCAGAGCAGAUAAAUGAUAAGAUGCUUCCGUUCUGCGGAGGUAACAGAAUCCGGCUUACAGUGGAAUUUU
This 353-nucleotide RNase P RNA is filed under the name Saprospiraceae bacterium. RNAcentral describes it as "RNase P RNA component class A". It matches the Rfam family "Bacterial RNase P class A". Rfam says of the family: Ribonuclease P (RNase P) is a ubiquitous endoribonuclease, found in archaea, bacteria and eukarya as well as chloroplasts and mitochondria. Its best characterised activity is the generation of mature 5'-ends of tRNAs by cleaving the 5'-leader elements of precursor-tRNAs. The record is from RNAcentral. Lineage: Bacteria; Pseudomonadati; Bacteroidota; Saprospiria; Saprospirales; Saprospiraceae.